This 497-nucleotide ribosomal RNA is filed under the name uncultured bacterium. Its description in RNAcentral is "partial 16S ribosomal RNA". It matches the Rfam family "Bacterial small subunit ribosomal RNA", at positions 28 to 507 of the family's 1533-position model. The record is from RNAcentral.
GAUGAACGCUGGCGGCGUGCCUAAUACAUGCAAGUCGAGCGGACGGACGAGAAGCUUGCGGCUCUGAUGUUAGCGGCGGACGGGUGAGUAACACGUGUAUCACCUCCCUAUAUGACUGGGAUCACUUCGAGAAACCGUAGCUUAUCCCGUAUAAUAUUUUGAUCCGCAUGGUGCAAUAGUGAAAGACGGUCUUGCUGUCGCUUAUAGCUGCAUACGCGCUGUAUUAGCUGGUUGUUAAGGUAACGGCUUACCAAGGCAACGAUGCGUAGACGAACGGAGGGGGGGGUCGGCCACCUGAGAAGGGGACCGGGGUCAAGACUCCUACGGUAGGGACCAGUAGGCAAUCGGCGGCAAUGGGCGAAAACCUGACGGAGCAAGGCCGAGUGAGUGAUGAAGGUCUUCGGAGCGUAAAACUCUGUUACUAGGGAAGAACAGCUGUGUAAGUAGCUGUGCACAGAGUGACGGUACCGAAUCAGAAAGCACCGGCUAACUACGUG